AGCAGACCUUUGGAACCUCAGUCAGAAGAUGGUGGGUGGAAGGAAUCCUGCUGAGGCUAAUCAGGAGGGUUCAGGUGGGAGGCAGCAGUCCAGAUAUUCAGUCACCUUGAGGUUGAGUUUGGUUAUGAAGAGUGGUAUUUAUUAUUGUUAUUAUUAUUAUUAUUAAUUACUACUGGCAUCGCUACGUAAAGCCUAGAGCUGCCAGCUGGACUGAAGCCCUGGCCCCUAGAGUGAUCCUUCCUUUUCACCAAAGAUGAAGCAGAGAAUAUCCUGUUUCCUGAUCCAGGACUGAAAAGUGGGCUUGGGGAGUCAGAUGCCAUGUUUUCAGUUUCCUGCACUGACCCUCUUCUCCUUCCUUAAGUAGAUGGAGUAUCCUUCAUACUCCAGGCCCACUUAAGCCUUUUCUACCGCUUUGAAAUAUGGCAGGAUAAGAGGCUGUGGGUAGCAGAUGAGACCCCCUUAGCUUCCCUGCUGUGGGGCCUCGUCCCACAACUACUGCCUACUCCAUCUGUUUUUCUCUGGCAAUGCUGGGGGCAGGAUUUUGAAUUCCAGAACAAUCCAGCAUCUUCGGCUUCUGUCUGUCCUUUCAUGCUGGACUCCAGAAGUUAAAGAUGACUCUUUUUUUUUCCUCAUCUCCCCCUCCAAAUAAGGCGAACUCCAAAUCCUCCACCUUCUCUAAUCUUUACCCAUUACCCAGCUUCCAGAGAUGGGAAAAAUCAGAGCAUCAGACAGAAAGGGACCAUUUAUGUUCUUAAGAAGGUGAGAGAGGUGCAGAAAUUUCCAUCCCAUUAGACAGACAAAAGCUGAGCUUUCUUUGGGUUUGGCAGUUAUCACUAGGUGUUUCAGCACUGCCAGUUCUAGAGUUAGGGUUCACACACCACUGCCCCAAAGCUGUCUCAGCUCAGAGACUGGUUACUGGUUUUCUUUUUCUGGUGGGGCAAGAGCAUUGGAGAAGCAGACAAAAAGGAGAUAACAGGCUUUUGGAGAUUUGCUAAGUACCUAAUGCUCCCCCCCCCCAACCCCUUGAAUCAGUUAAAGAAAAAAAAAUGCCCUAGAAAUUUAAAAAUUACUGCAUUCGCCACCCAGAAAUAUGACCUCUCCAUUCAGCUAUGUUGCAAAUAUGCAGAGAAUUAAGACCAAAAGGUGCCUACCCAUAUGCCGUCCUCCAGUUUCCUGCACUUGCCCAAGAGUACUGAGUAUGUACCGCACAAAGAACUAGGAGAGUUAGCUAGUAGCUUUGAAGUGUUUACAGUCUAGAAGGUUGGCACUUCUGUAGAGCCAGUUAGGCAAAGUACCACGGACAACUUCCAAGAUGGAGGGAGCUGUCUGAGCCCUUUUUUCCUUCUCUAGAAAAGUACCCACGCUGAGAUUUUCCUCUAGGUUUCAAAUGAGCUAGGGGGGUUACUCUAGCUCAUACAAGGAUGGCAUUCUGAGGAGCCCAGCUUUCCUGGGUUUGAAUUGUCACCCCAUCCCUUCCCAGCUGGGUGACCAAGAUGAGUUGCCUAACUUCUCUGCCUCAAUUUCCUCAUCUGUAAAAUGGGGUUGAUAACAAUCAGGAUUGUUGAGAGGAUUCAAAGAUUUCUUAGGUGUGAAGGACUAAGAGUACCCUGACUAUAGCAAGCACCAUGUGUGAACAGCUAUUACCAAUACCUACUGUAAUAGACUCACACCCACUGUGUCAAAUAUCAAUUUCUUGGGUGUCCCCAGAGCUAAUUAAUUCCCAGGGAAGAACUUCUCUGAGCACUCAUUCAACUUUGAGUCUCACCUUUCACCAAAUGUCUCGAGCUUUUUCUCUGUACAAGCCGUGAAGAUUUUAUUUAUCGUAUUAUGGUAGGAAAGGGCGGUGAGCAAGACAAGCAUAGAUCUUUCUAUUGGUUUGGGUUCCUUCGAAAAGGAAGAAUUCCUUGUUGUUCCUUUUGCAAAUGCAGACUGCAGGACAGAGAUAAUAAUCUUGAGGAUGGUCCUCCGCUCCUAGAAGAGAACCCCAGUCCUCAGCAGCACCCUUCCCUAGGAAUGUCCUUCUGGCCGGAGAGAAAUGAAUUAACAAGUGGGGCCAGGAAGGAAAGCAACCUUGAGGACUGGCGUUCGAUAUAAGGGGGGCAAGAACGAAUUAAGUUGACCUGGUCAUCUAAUUACUCUUGUACUUUUUACCUUUCAAUUUGGUAUUGCUCUUUAUACAGGAGACCUAUUCAACAGUAAUCACAUUUUGUUACAGAAUAGAAAAAAAAAAAAAAAAGAUGUGUGAAAAGCUAGGGGACCCGUUAUUGAUAGACCAUUCCAGACUUUCUUCCAACUGAUUUUCUUUCUUUCUGUUUUUUUUUUUGUUGUUGUUGUUUUGUUUUUUUUGUUUUUACAGUAUCUUGUCUUCUAAAGCAAGAUCUAAACCUCAGCAAUAAAAACUAAGAAGCAAAAUGCAAGCAAAGAAUACUGUUCUCUAGAUAAAACGACAGGGAAAGAGGUUUGGUUUUCAGGAAGCAGACAUAAAAGUCUACCUCUCCGUGCAGGGUUCCAGCCAGAUUUGUGCCCAGAGUCUGUUUUUCUCUCUUUUUGACAGUCCUGAUCUUCUCUACGUUUAAUUUACUGAGUGCUGUCAUUUCUCUGCUCUUUACUUUCACAAUCACACAUUCAAACCUGAUAAAGUUCAAGACCCUGAAUAUUUGCAGCCUUCCCAGAUUUACAGUCCUGCUGCCCCCCACCCUGGUCAGGGGUCCCCAGGCUGAUUGAAUCCUCAUGGACAGAAGCCAUGGGGAAUCAGCAGAGAGCCAGCAGGGUCAGGACCGGUGGAUCACUAGGGAAUGUCAGCCCCCAGGUCAGCUCUCUUAGUCAAAGGGAAACUUAGUAGCUUUCUUUCCCUAGAAAAUGAUGUCAAACAUCCCCUGAGCUUAGUUCCAACUUCCAGUUUGUAACCUGCCUGUGGGCAGGGACAGGAAUGGUAACUUGCAAGUGUUACAACUGGCGACAAUUGCAUAAAAAAUCAUGGUCGUCUUCCAUGAAUUUCCUGUCGAUCCAGAGCAAGCCACUUAACCUCUCAGUGCCUCAGUUGCUCCAUCCAUAAAAUGGUAGAAAUAUUACUGCCUGCCAACAUUAAUCACAAACUAAUGGCUCAAGUCCUCCCUCCCUCUGUAGCUCUGUCAGGGCCCCAGAAAGACCAUUAACAUAUGUCUGCUCUGGCUGUUUGGAUUCCAUCAGGUUAAAUACAAACCUAUAUGUUAAUCUAAAUACUAUACCAAUGGGCUAAACAAAAGGAAUGAUUCAUCUCUCAAGACUGAGCUGUUAAAUUAGGCUCAAGUUUUAAAACCACUGAAAUUUCUGAAGGAAGAUACUAUCUAAAUAAUCUAUUCUUUGCCUAUAAAUAUGUCAUAAGUCAACUAAAAGACGGAACAGUGACGAAAAGCAACCACUGAACAUGAAUGCCCUUAUUUCCAAUAUUGUGAUGACACAAGAACUUCAUAUUUAAUGCAUGUAACUCAAUUACACAAGUAAUUGUUCUUACAUGAAUUGAUGUUUUCAUUUGUCUUGAACUAUCAGAAUUUUCUAAGGUAAGCAGCACUUAAAGUAAGUCUUUUUUGGCGGGAGGUGGGGGGGCAGUGCAGUGGCAAGCCAAGGCAUGUGGAGGUUCCCAGGCCAGGAAUCAAACUCACACCACAGCAGUGACCCAGCUGCUGCAGUGACAAGACCAAAUCCUUAACCUGCUACACCACCAAGGAACUCCAAGUGGGUCAUAUAUAUAUGUAUAUAUAUCACUAUUCCAAUUUUAUGAACUAAAAAAGGUUUUUACAAUUUUUUCCCCUUUUGGAGUUCCCUGGUGGCUCAGUAGGUUAAGGAU
This 3826-nucleotide long non-coding RNA is filed under the name Sus scrofa (pig). Its description in RNAcentral is "lncRNA (ENSSSCG00000058699.1)". Lineage: Eukaryota; Metazoa; Chordata; Mammalia; Artiodactyla; Suidae. The record is from RNAcentral.